This 258-nucleotide ribosomal RNA is filed under the name uncultured bacterium. Its description in RNAcentral is "partial 16S ribosomal RNA". It matches the Rfam family "Bacterial small subunit ribosomal RNA", at positions 524 to 776 of the family's 1533-position model. The record is from RNAcentral.
AACGUAGGGGACAAGCGUUAUCCGGAUUUACUGGGCGUAAAGCGCCCGUAGGCGGCCUGACAAGUUGGACGUGAAAGCUCCUGGCUUAACUGGGAGAGGCCGUUCAAAACUGUCAAGCUAGAGUCUGGAAGAGGAGAGCGGAAUUCCCGGUGUAGUGGUGGAAUGCGUAGAGAUCGGGGAGGAACACCAGUGGCGAAAAGCGGCUCUCUGGGGGACCACCUGACGCUGAGGCGCGAAAAGCGUGGGGGAGCGAACCGG